GGGCGGCCAGACGGAAUGACAGACGGACAGACGUACAGGGGUAGUUGAGGGGGGGGGGGGGGCCAUAAAAAAUAUAGAUUCAAGUACAUCUUUUAUUGCGUCAACUUGUAGACAGUAAACCUGAUGAUUUCUAUUUUUAAGUUUUUACCAUUUUUGCGUUCAUGUACUUACAACGUAUUUUUGUCUGAAUUAGUAAUUGUUUUAGAUAUGUAUAUUGAUAAUGGACAUACAUGUAUCACAUUUUUUACAACGUAUAAUUUCUUUUUAAAAUGUUCCAUAAAAGAGGGUCUGAUUGGGGUUGACGGAAUACAGAAUAAUGGGCAAAAAUUGCAGAAUAAAAUGCAAAAAAGAAAAAAAAAGAAAAAGUGUAUAAUGGGGUGCUAAAAUAUAAAGAAUAAAGAAUAUUUGUAAUACCAAAUAAAAAUUUAUGAUAAUUAUCCAGACUCUUAUGAGAAAAAAGAAUCUAUCAAUAAGAAAC
This 478-nucleotide long non-coding RNA is filed under the name Mytilus galloprovincialis (Mediterranean mussel). The record is from RNAcentral. Lineage: Eukaryota; Metazoa; Mollusca; Bivalvia; Mytilida; Mytilidae.